Molecule: ribosomal RNA, 253 nt
Filed under: uncultured bacterium
Lineage: Bacteria
Description: partial 16S ribosomal RNA
Rfam family: Bacterial small subunit ribosomal RNA
Source: RNAcentral
UACGGAGGGGGCCAGCGUUGUUCGGAAUCAUUGGGCGUAAAGGGCGCGUAGGCGGCCGAUCAAGUCGGAGGUGAAAUCCCUGGGCUCAACCCAGGAACUGCGUCCGAUACUGGUUGGCUUGAAUCCGGGAGAGGGAUGUGGAAUUCCAGGUGUAGCGGUGAAAUGCGUAGAUAUCUGGAGGAACACCGGUGGCGAAGGCGACAUCCUGGACCGGUAUUGACGCUGAGGCGCGAAAGCCAGGGGAGCAAACGGG